RNAcentral lists this transfer RNA (17 nucleotides) under Lycostomus sp. UPOL MK0970. Its description in RNAcentral is "partial tRNA-Leu". The record is from RNAcentral. Lineage: Eukaryota; Metazoa; Arthropoda; Insecta; Coleoptera; Lycidae.
UGUGGCAGAAUAGUGCA